Molecule: ribosomal RNA, 718 nt
Filed under: uncultured bacterium
Lineage: Bacteria
Description: bacterial SSU rRNA
Rfam family: Bacterial small subunit ribosomal RNA
Source: RNAcentral
AUGCAGUCGAGGGGCAGCACAAGGUAGCUUGCUAUCUGGGUGGCGACCGGCGCACGGGUGCGUAACGCGUAUGCAACUUGCCCUAUACAGGAGGAUAACCCGUCGAAAGACGGACUAAUACUGCGUAUGCUCACAGCUUGGCAUCAAGAAGUGAGGAAAGAAAUUCGGUAUAGGAUAGGCAUGCGUCCCAUUAGCUUGUUGGCGAGGUAACGGCUCACCAAGGCGACGAUGGGUAGGGGAACUGAGAGGUUUAUCCCCCACACUGGUACUGAGACACGGACCAGACUCCUACGGGAGGCAGCAGUGAGGAAUAUUGGUCAAUGGGCGAGAGCCUGAACCAGCCAAGUCGCGUGAAGGAUGACUGUCUUAUGGAUUGUAAACUUCUUUUAUACGGGAAUAACAAGAGUCAUGUGUGACUCCCUGCAUGUACCGUAUGAAUAAGCAUCGGCUAACUCCGUGCCAGCAGCCGCGGUAAUACGGAGGAUGCGAGCGUUAUCCGGAUUUAUUGGGUUUAAAGGGUGCGUAGGCGGUUUGUUAAGUCAGCGGUGAAAUCUAGAGGCUCAACCUCGAAACUGCCGUUGAAACUGGCGAACUUGAGUGUAGAUGAGGUAGGCGGAAUUCGUGGUGUAGCGGUGAAAUGCAUAGAUAUCACGAGGAACUCCGAUUGCGAAGGCAGCUUACUAAGGUACAACUGACGCUGAAGCACGAAAGCGUGGGU